ACGAAGGGUGCAAGCGUUAAUCGGAAUUACUGGGCGUAAAGGGUUCGUAGGUGGCCAACUCAGUCAGACGUGAAAUCCCUCAGCUCAACUGGGGAACUGCGUCUGAUACUAGAUGGCUCGAGUGCAGGAGAGGAACGCGGAAUUCCAGGUGUAGCGGUGAAAUGCGUAGAUAUCUGGAGGAACACCGGUGGCGAAGGCGGCGUUCUGGACUGCAACUGACACUGAGGAACGAAAGCCAGGGGAGCAAACGGGA
RNAcentral lists this ribosomal RNA (253 nucleotides) under uncultured prokaryote. RNAcentral describes it as "partial 16S ribosomal RNA". It matches the Rfam family "Bacterial small subunit ribosomal RNA", at positions 525 to 777 of the family's 1533-position model. The record is from RNAcentral.